CACAUGACUCUCGGCAACGGAUAUCUCGGCUCUCGCAUCGAUGAAGAACGUAGCAAAAUGCGAUACCUGGUGUGAAUUGCAGAAUCCCGUGAACCAUCGAGUUUUUGAACGCAAGUUGCGCCCGAGACCUUUUGGUUGAGGGCACGUCUGCCUGGGCGUCACGC
This 164-nucleotide ribosomal RNA is filed under the name Muhlenbergia eludens. Its description in RNAcentral is "5.8S ribosomal RNA". It matches the Rfam family "5.8S ribosomal RNA". From Rfam's summary of the family: 5.8S ribosomal RNA (5.8S rRNA) is a component of the large subunit of the eukaryotic ribosome. It is transcribed by RNA polymerase I as part of the 45S precursor that also contains 18S and 28S rRNA. The record is from RNAcentral. RNAcentral also lists the same sequence under 2 other names. Lineage: Eukaryota; Viridiplantae; Streptophyta; Magnoliopsida; Poales; Poaceae.